AGCAUAUCAAUAAGCGGAGGAAAAGAAACCAACAGGGAUUGCCCUAGUAACGGCGAGUGAAGCGGCAACAGCUCAAAUUUGAAAUCUGGCUCUCUUUGGGGGUCCGAGUUGUAAUUUGCAGAGGAUGCUUUGGCAUUGGCGGCGGUCUAAGUUCCUUGGAACAGGACAUCGCAGAGGGUGAGAAUCCCGUACGUGGGCGCCUGCCUUUGCCGUGUAAAGCUCCUUCGACGAGUCGAGUUGUUUGGGAAUGCAGCUCUAAAUGGGAGGUAAAUUUCUUCUAAAGCUAAAUACCGGCCAGAGACCGAUAGCGCACAAGUAGAGUGAUCGAAAGAUGAAAAGUACUUUGGAAAGAGAGUCAAAAAGCACGUGAAAUUGUUGAAAGGGAAGCGCUUGCAGCCAGACUUGCCCGCAGUUGCUCACCUAGGCUUUGGCCUGGGGCACUCUUCUGCGGGCAGGCCAGCAUCAGUUUGGGCGGUCGGACAAAGGCCUCUGUCAAGUAUCUCCCUUCGGGGUGACCUUAUAGGGGAGGCGUAAUGCGACCAGCCCGGACUGAGGUCCGCGCAUCUGCUAGGAUGCUGGCGUAAUGGCUGUAAGCGGCCCGUCUUGAAACACGGACCAAGGAGUCUAACAUCUAUGCGAGUGUUUGGGUGUCAAGCCCGGGCGCGCAAUGAAAGUGAACGGAGGUGGGAACCCUUUGGGUGCACCAUCGACCGAUCCUGAUGUCUUCGGAUGGAUUUGAGUAAGAGCAUAGCUGUUGGGACCCGAAAGAUGGUGAACUAUGCUUGAAUAGGGUGAAGCCAGAGGAAACUCUGGUGGAGGCUCGCAGCGGUUCUGACGUGCAAAUCGAUCGUCAAAUUUGGNGCAUAGGGGCGAAAGACUAAUCGAACCAUCUAGUA
This 896-nucleotide small RNA is filed under the name Paraconiothyrium cyclothyrioides. RNAcentral's name for it is "eukaryotic LSU rRNA". It matches the Rfam family "Eukaryotic large subunit ribosomal RNA", at positions 37 to 949 of the family's 3401-position model. Lineage: Eukaryota; Fungi; Ascomycota; Dothideomycetes; Pleosporales; Didymosphaeriaceae. The record is from RNAcentral.